UACAGAGGGGGCAAGCGUUGUUCGGAAUUACUGGGCGUAAAGGGCGCGUAGGCGGCCUUCUAAGUCGAACGUGAAAUCCCUGGGCUCAACCCAGGAACUGCGUCCGAUACUGGAAGGCUUGAAUCCGGGAGAGGGAUGCGGAAUUCCAGGUGUAGCGGUGAAAUGCGUAGAUAUCUGGAGGAACACCGGUGGCGAAGGCGGCAUCCUGGACCGGCAUUGACGCUGAGGCGCGAAAGCUAGGGGAGCAAACGGG
This 253-nucleotide ribosomal RNA is filed under the name uncultured bacterium. RNAcentral's name for it is "partial 16S ribosomal RNA". It matches the Rfam family "Bacterial small subunit ribosomal RNA", at positions 524 to 776 of the family's 1533-position model. The record is from RNAcentral.